UGAAGGAAGAUAGCCAACGCAUAAGCUAUACCAGUCACACAAUACACGAGGCAUACCAAGACGAUAUAGUGAUCCAAAAACGUGGAUCUCGGGUUAGUGAAGAAGUAGAACAUGGAGAGGUAAACCAAUGGCUUGACAAGUGUAUUGAAACAGUCUAUUGUAUCUUUGGCAAGGAAGCUAGCUAAGCUACUCAUCCCAGCCGCACUUUCUCUCCAGUAAUGUACCUUGUCUAGUGAGAAUGAUCUUAGAGCUGCUAUUUUGCACAGAAGAGCUGACAUAUGAAGAAAAAAAAAGACUAAUAAGAAAAGAAUACGAAGAAAGUUAAGUAUUAGAAGGAAACCAACUUACAAACGGCGAUGAUAGUGUAGGUAUAACCAGGUGCUCCAAAGCUCUCAUCACUUGCUUUGAUCAGUGAUCCUAAACAAGCUCCAGCUAGCAAUAAGAUCAAGUAGUCUGUGGCUUGUAACUUAGCUUCUCUCAUUCUCUGCUUAGCUAUCCUGUAAAAUCAGAAACACUUUAGCUCUAUCUUAAGAUAGUGUCGUGGAGAUUAAGAAAAUAAGUACCUUCCAAGGAAAUAUUUGUAUUGCAGCCACAUAGAAGGGGUUCUUCUGUAGGAUAAAUCUCUGGUCUUUAAGAAGUUGUGUCUUAUUUUAUCACCACGCAACCUGAAAUUACUCGUUACAUCUCCCAACAGCUCUCUGACAAAUGUCGGUUCUGCACUGUAGUUGUCGUUUUUCCGCAUAUCUAAUGGAACCGAGAAACCUUCGUGAAGCAUCCACCUCUGAGGAAGCUCUUUGAUGCUAACAUCAGAGUUCAGGUUGGUUACAAUCCCUUCCAGAACGUCUAUGUAGUAGUCAGGAGGGUUGAUACGUUCUGGUACAAUGAUUCCAAGACCAGAGAAGUAUUCCUCGACGUUCUCUACUGGUCCGUGGUAAACAGUAAGGCCACCUUUCGCUAGAAGUACUAGAUCAUUGAACGUUUUGAACAAUGUAUAACUGCAAUACAGAAAGAUUAUGAACUUAGAAAGCUUCAUGACAAUUAAAAAGACAUUUAUGAUUUGAUUUACCUCGGUUGGUGAACAACCAUGCAGAUAUUGACUCCCUCAAGGGCCUCAUGCUUAAGUGCUUUAAGAAGAAGCUGUGAUGAGGCACUGUCCAAACCAGAAGUAGGUUCAUCCAAGAACAAAAUAGAAGGCUCCAUUGCCAUCUCCAAACCAACGUUCACUCGUUUCCUCUGCCCUCCUGAGAUUCCACGUUUCUCUACCGUACCAACUAGUGAGCUUCUCACACCUUGUAGCCCCAAAGAGUCGAUGACUCUCUCGACCACAAGCACUUUUUCGGCUUUUGAUUGUCCUGCAGGUAAUCUGCAUCUAGCAUGGAACCAGAUGUUUUCCUCAACAGUCAAGUUUCCAUGGACAAUGUCAUCUUGUGGCACAAACCCAAUAAUCUUCUUAAAUGAGUGGAUUGAUAAUUGCUUCCCGUUUAUAAGCAACAAACCACUCAGAUUGCACCCAACAGCUUUCCCAGCCAAAGCAGAAAGAAGACUUGUCUUUCCUGCUCCUGAUGGACCCAUCACAGCUGUGAUCCGACCUGGUUUCAUGGUUCCUGUCACACAUCUCAACAGAUGCUUACCAUUGGAUUUCAAGGUAAGAGUUAAAUCUUGGAAAGAAAGCUCCAAGAGGGUCCUCCUCUUCAUCUCAGAGUAAGUAGCCAUGUUAACUAUUCCUGAAAAGGUAAGAUCGCUAUUCUCUAGCUCCAUGGCUUUCUCCUUCUCGAUCUGAUUAUACGCAUACUUUAAGAUUUGGCUCUGUGAAUUCUUGAUUCUGGGACCUUUACCUCUCUUUCCACUUGGUCUUUUGUUACUUCCGCCAGCUGCAUCAUCCUCUAUCUCAAAGCUAGGUUGCACAGCUGAGGAGGAACUCGCAGGACUUGAAGACGAGUCCACACGAUCCAACAUCUUGUGAGUUUCUCCAUCUUUUUUGGUUCUUUUACCCGAGAGCGUCUGACUUAUUUGCUCACUUAUCUCAGUUACAUGCUUCUUAGCAGCAGUUCUAGCAACUUUCCAUCUCUGGUUGGCUUUAGCUUUCUUCACAGCUGCUUCCCUUGACUUCGCCUGCCUCCUCUCCCUUGUUGUUAGGAUUUGAUCAGAACAGUUGUAUAUAAUGAGUAGAAUAGUGACCACACCACACUGCACAAACACAUUGAAAGCCACUCUUUUUGUCAAUAAUCUUUUGGAUGACUAAUAAUAUAACUGAAUUAAAAAAAGACUUACAAUAACCAAAAUCCAAAAUGCAUGCAGAUUUGCGGAGUUGGAAUUGCAAGAAGUCAACUUAAAGCAAGCUGGAAGACAAUAAGUACAUGAAUAGAGAGACUAAGACAUAUUUAAAAUAAAAACUUCACUAUGAUAAUUCUGAAAGACUUACGUUCCUUAGAUGUAGAACCCAUACGACAGUAGUGCCUGGAUCAUACAUACAUACAUAAUAAGAGUAUAGAUAGUUACUUUUAAUAGAUAGAGAGCAUUGGUAAUAAUAACACAACUUUGAUUAUUAUUUGUCACAAUAGAAUGGAGUUUUAAGGGGACAAAGGUUGAAUUACCCACUACCACAAGGUAAUUUUAGAGUGGUCGUUGGACAAUAAUAUCCCGCGGAACAGAAUAAUUCGUCGCUUCUACUGUGAUCGGCCCAUACAUUUGCACCUCCACAAGUGUGGUUUAGUUGUCCUGGUGGUAGUUGAUAAGCAUACCUAUAUAAAUUGCAAUAUUUCAACAUCUUAUCCCACAAUAGCAUAACAUGUCUACUUAAAAAAAAGAAAGUAAAAACUCACGGGUCGCAUAAGCCUGUUGUCUCAUUAAGGGUAGCUAAGGGGCAAUAAGAACCACGAGGGCAAGCUAUUUUCAAAACAGAAGAGAAAAUUUAGACGAUAUUGAAAGAAGGUUAGAGAUAUCAAUGGAAAAAAAUAAAGAGAGUUUUGGAUUUGCUUACGUAUCAUACAAGUGAGUCCGUUGGGGCAGAAGAAGCCCUCGCAGCAAGGCAUACAGUUACUUGUUCUUUCUGGAAGGUCAUCUUGUUCGGUUAGAUGAUCCCGGCUGCAGGCCCAGCCAGGCUCACAACCAGGGACCCAUGAUGUCAAGUUGCAAUUCCGAUUCGGUUUCGGUUUCAAGUACCCAGGGUUAUCCGUUUUCAACAGGAACUCAUCUGAAUAGAACUUCAUCUCUGCUGCUGUGCAGAUACGGCUAACAAAAUCACCUGUUUCCAAACACCAAAACAAAGUCAAACAAAUGUGAAACCAUAAGAAACAAGAUUAUACAAUCUAAUCAUCAAAUCGUCGCUCUUUACAUCUUCUAUCAACCAACAAGCAAUAAUAACUAAGCAAGAAGAAGUUGGUUACCUUCGGUUUUGUUAAAGCAAGAACGCAGGAAAUCCAAGUUGGCGGAGAAAUUAAAAGCUUUGUCCCAAUCAGCAGUCCUGACAACAGUGAAGGAUUAUCUCAAGACAUUUGUUAACUGAAACAAUACAUUUCACUAUGUCAAAGCAUCAAGUUGACCUCUUUAUGUAGUACAUAUCUUAGUAUUCAAACAACACACAAAAGCUCAAGUUUUGUAGAAAACGAGACAUUUGAUUGCAACAAAUGAUACAAGUAUCCAAAACUAGAAACCAAAGCAAUGAAAGCUUACAGGUCUUUGACGCAAAACUUUGCUUUAGUAGCGAGCUCUUGAUUUAGAGCAGCAGUGAUAUUGUAGAGACUAUGGUAAACCAUCUGUGUAAAAGCUGGAUUGUUGAAGUCAUUUGUGUCCUCAAACUGACCAUAACCAACAUAACAAACCAACCAAAGAACUAACACCACCAAUCUGAGAUUAUAUCCGUGUUUGAGCCAGUUUCGCCGGUUUACACUCAUCUUGAGAAUCAAUAACCUUAAAAGAAAGACACAUGCGAGAGAGAGAGAUUAUUAACUAAACCAAAUUAACUAAUCUUGAUCUUGGGUUUAUUAAAACAAUCUAAACAAUCUUUUUUAUCUAAAUUCAAGAACUUGAAGACCCAGAAACUCAAAAACCGCUUCUUUUCAUUUCAAGUACUUUAACUUUGUUCUACAGAACUCAUAAUCAACAGAGUAUAAGAAAGAAACUUACUUAAUAAGGCAAUGAAGUUUCAUGAAAUGAGAGCUAAGGAAUCCAUGAAAAUGCUUGCUUCUUGGAGACGGUUCUUUAUAGAGAAAUGUAGCAAGCUAUUGAGAUAUUUGUGAGUUAAUCUGCCAACAUUGACUCUGGAGUCUCCUCACGUCUAGACAAGAAGACCAAUAAGAAGAAAGGUAGUGGGGUUUAAUGGUUCAUUAGGACAAAGAACUUAAGGACAUACUAGUGGGGUUUAAUGGUUCAUUAGGACAAAGAACUUAAGGACAUACUUAGGCAGCUCAUACUUAGCACCUGUGGAGUAAGAGUAGGUACUAGUUAGGAGUAUGUAACAAAUAGGAACACAGAAAAAUCACUGAGGGAAGUGAAAAAGAUUUGAAUGUUUAACCUCUCUCAUCAUAGCAGGUAGUGAGAUCAUUGUUCUGAACAAUGACUCCUGCACUGUCCACGAUUGCUUGCGCAAGAGAUAUGUCAGCUUCAGCUGCAGCACGAAGUGCAUCCCAUAAAUCUGCGAUUAACCAAGUGUAAGAUCCAAACAUGUGGGUAUCAAGACCAGAAGUAAACAUCCAAAAAGAAACACAGAAAGACAAGACUUCUAUGGUUUCUCUUAUUCCUCACUGAUGAUACUGACAAAAAUCUAAUGAAGUUCCUUAGCUCAGUUGAGAAUGGUUCAAAAAAUGAAAUUUAUCAAGGUCAUGUAACACUGAUGAGGAAUACCACAAGGGUCCUUAGCUCAGUGGUAGAGCAAUUGACUGCAGAUCAAUAGGUCACCGGUUCGAAUCCGGUAGGGCCCUUAAAAUCUAACUUUUUCACUACUUUACAACAUCUAAGACUAAUAUCAUUCCUUUUUACAAGUCAUUCAAUCAAUGCCUAUACCAUAAUCUUUAUAUCUCACUGAUCACUGUGUAACAGAAGAGUUCUUAGCUCAGUGGUAGAGCAAUUGACUGCAGAUCAAUAGGUCUCUGGUUCGAACCCUGUAGAGCCCUUAUAAAUCUCUGUUUUUAACUUCUCCCCCCUACCCCUUUUCAACAAAUCCUUAAUUUAUUUUGAAUAAAAUGAAAACACAUCACUCAGGCAAGCCAAAGAAACAAGUAUUCAAAUUUUACCUUUGGUACCGCCAUAGUGAGGAGCAGUGUCCCAAAACUCUUCUCUCAUUUUCACAAGCUCAGCUUUACUGAUCGGUUGAGUAUGCUUCCACGGUUCCGGCUUCCUAAUUCUCUUCACUGCCCCUGUUAACAAAACAACGAGUUAUCAAAAACAAAGACAACCUCCAUCUGCUGCCAUAUAAAACUCUUACAAAACAAAGACAGUGUAUGUGCACCACUCAUCAUACUUGUGCUCAAUUAAGGAUUCCAGAAGGGAAAUUAAUUCGCAGAAACUAGCCUUAGAUUCAGCAGUCCAUAAGAGGGAUGCCAGUCAUAAUGAGGGAUGAUACUUACUAUUAAGUUAAAAGCUUCCAGAUGAAGCCGAGUCAACAAAAUGUUACGUGUUGUAAGAUCUCUCGCAUUGCCAGGUGAUGCAAGCAAAUAUAUACACAGAGACUACAUCUGAACACUAUGUAUGGUUCUAUUUCUACCUCUUAGGGUUGAAAGACUGAACAUUUCAACAUAUAAAUCAAGGGUUUCUCACUAUCUAAAAAUAGAAAGUCUGCAUCUUUUAUCUUCUCUAACGAAACCUUAAAAAUGAUUCCUUUUUCCGCCCAACCCAGCUAAUAAACUAAAAGAGAUUCGAGAGAUGGUUAGUGUGAUCUCUCACCUUCUGCUUGUGACUGCGUGGAUCCAGCACAACCCAUUUGUAUGUUCUUGCUUCUUUCUGUCGCUCAAGUAACAAAAGUCUCUCUCGGAAACAGACAACAAUGAUUCCGACAAAACCCUUCACCGAAGCCAAUCAAAGUCGUAAACUUUCCUUUCAAAAAUGAGAUUUUUUUGGAAUCUUGAGACAAAGGAGAAGAAGAAGGAGACCGAGUUGAAGAUGAUGAAUCUCGGUGGUGUUAAUGAUUGAGACAUUGUUUGUUUUGAUAAAUAAAAAGGGAAAGGGUUUUGGCUUCACACCUUCAAAGGGUUCUAAAUCCAAUUCCAGCCACCAAUCACUUUUUGCCACGUCAUCGUUAUUAUUCUUUGAUAUUGAUCAUGAAUGAAUGAUUGGUCAAGUUAAAUCAUAUCUCAGUUUGUGAAACACAAGAGCAUCACUUUAAAAAGGAGAUGUUACUUAUCUUCUGAUUACUGAUGGAAGAAACUGCUCAACUUUUGUUAGCAAUGGAGCAAGGAUUGUUACUUUACCAUAAGUCGUGUUUGUCCAAUACAAAGAAGAAGAAAGAAAGCUUGUUCCCAGCUAAGAAACAAGUCAAGCAUUUAAAAGAGCUUAUAUAUCAGCUAAUUAAACACCAACAAAUUAAUAUCACAAAAGACCUGUAACAAACCCUUCUAACAAGACAAUGAACUAAGACGAACACAACACUAUAGUCUUCUUGGUUGAAUAUAACCAAAAACUCGCAGAACCAUGAAACUCUUCUCUCCUCCUACCUCCAAGCUUCAUAGCCCUGCGAGAACUAAAACCGUAAUGAAAACAAAACCUUUUGUCUUUCACCUCUUUUGAAGUAUAAUCAUCCCCACAAAGGCAAUCAUACGAGUGACCCCACCAAUGAGAAUCAAUAUCAUUAUACACAGAUUCCAUUCAUUAAUGUCGUAUCCACUCUUCAUUAGUGAUCCACAUCGUGUGAUCAUCCAUACUCCAUAGUACCUGAAACCCCAAAAACAAAAAAAAACAUCUGAUAUACAAAAUCAAACCAUACUCCAUAAUGUUUUGGAUGGCCUUACUUUUGAGCAUUUCCAAUAACAAAGGCUUGCAAAGCCCACUUUGGAUAACACAAAUCAGCUAUGAUCUUCAUAGCUUCACUAUCCUUAGGUUGAGUUGCAACAAGUGUUAAAACCACUGGAAGAAGUACAGAAAACUGCAAAAGACACCAACAUUUUUUUGUCAGUUUAGACCAAUAAGGAUUCUUUCUCUUAAAACCAAAAUGAAAAAAACUCACCAGCUGAGCAGAGCCUGGUUGGAGGAAGAUAGCCAACGCAUAUGCUAUACCAGUCACACAAUACACCAGGCAUACCAAGACUAUAUAGUUAUCGAAAAACGUGGACCUCGGGUUAGUAAAGAAGUAGAACAUGGAGAGAUAAACCAAUGGCUUGACAAGUGUGUUGAAACAGUCCAUUGUAUCUUUGGCAAGGAAACAAGCCAAGCUACUCAUCCCUGAAGCACUUUCUCUCCAGUAAUGUAACUUGUCUAGUGAGAAUGAUCUCAAUGCUGCUAUUUUGCACAGA
RNAcentral lists this long non-coding RNA (7442 nucleotides) under Brassica rapa (field mustard). Its description in RNAcentral is "long non-coding RNA (BRAP_LNC003983)". The stretch from base 4848 to 4919 matches the Rfam family "tRNA". The record is from RNAcentral. Lineage: Eukaryota; Viridiplantae; Streptophyta; Magnoliopsida; Brassicales; Brassicaceae.